CAAGCCCUUGGCUAUUUCUACUCUGUUACAGGUUUCUUGAUACUCCUGUAAUAUAAAUAAUAAUUUGUUUUCAAAAUUUGCAAAAUACUCUUCCUUUGCCUUCAAAGUAAAUUUGAUGAUUUUCAGGCCAAGCCAAAUUUCCAGUGUGAACUUAGAAGAAUCAAGAGGAGAACAGGAGAUGAGCGGUCAGUAAUAAAAGUGGGUUGCAAUCAUAAUAUCUGAAAGUACCCAAUCAUCUUCACAAGCCCAGAGAAGUACGUUAGAAGGAGGAAAAAUGACCUACAAAAGGCACAGUCUUGGGUAGCCAGAACUGAGCCAUGGAAGACCUGGUGGGAGGCAGACUGCCUGCAGGAGUUGUUGGAAACAAGGACCCCUUGCAGCAUUGCACCCUGACACAAUAGGGCACUACAGUUUUGUAAACUCUGGGUCCAGUGGAGCAUACUUUAAAGCUGAGCAAUUGGUGGAAAUAGCAGCCAAGAGCAUGAAUACAUGAUGUCCAGACCGAGUGUCUUAAUUUAUGCUCCAAAAGAAAUCCAAGCCAAUUGACAAAGUGCAAAGUGCAAGAAAUUGUAAACUGAGACAGAAAAAUAGAAAAAAUAGAAAAAUCUGAGAAAAAAGUCUCUGAAAUACAUUUACAGCAUGUGUUCUUUUUGUGCACUUCAAUGUGUUUAGACAUUGAAAAUAGACAGUUUCUCUUCUGUUUAUACUCAGAGCAAAAUCCUACAAUGAUAUUAAGGAAAUUGCAUGAGAUGGAGGAUAGGAUUGAAUUGAAAAGUCAGAAAAUUGUUUGGGGUCAAAUUUUGUAUUGAUUUGGAGGGUUGUUUUUUUUUUACUUUAAUAAAAUUGAAGGAAAUUUCUAAAUUAAUUUGUUUUGAAUUGAAAAAUCAGUGUUUUGUCUCAAAUAUUGAAAUGAAUUUUUUUUUAACUGAAACAAUUGGUGAACUCAACAUGAAUUUGCAAAAUGUUUGUCAACAUGAAUCUUUUUGUUGUUGUUUGCCAAGCUUUAGCACCAAAUCUUCACUAGUAAACAUUAUUUUGUUUGCUGAUCUCCGGGUCCUUUUUCAGAACAAUUUUUGGCACAUCUGUAACCAACCCUUGUGUAAUGAUGUCACAAACUGUUACUAUGUGAUUUAUCAAUUUUUGGAAGUUUCCUUUGCAAUAUGAGUGCUGAACUCUUUCAACCAGAAAUAUGGCAGACUUAAACUCAGUUGAAAUU
This is a long non-coding RNA of Mauremys mutica (yellowpond turtle), 1216 nucleotides long. RefSeq lists it as uncharacterized. NCBI's taxonomy places the organism in Eukaryota, Metazoa, Chordata, Testudines, Geoemydidae. The transcript is spliced from 4 exons. The record is from RefSeq and is a predicted model, not a curated record.